ACGGUCGUCUUUACAUAGACGAAGCAGGAAAGAUCAGACAUUCCAUCCUCCGGGUGUUUGUCACAGUUCAGCAUCCAAGCUGAAUCUCUAGUUACCAUGGAUGGAGAUGACCUUUCCUGGCUAUGCUAGCCAGCUUUCUGACCUCAAAAAAAACACCAGCAUUUAAGAUAUUGAGGGUCAGAAAAAUAUCAAGAACAGGCAGCUGAUUCUCAGGUGUCAAGCUCAAAAUCAGCAAGAAUCGGGUAGCAGAUGCAGAAGUCUGACUGGGAGCGAGAUCCCUCUCCCCUCUCCACCACGCACUAGGAGUGGAUACUAAAGCCAGAGGAAGGCUGACAACAUGAGGUGUUUCACAAAGGACAACAGGACGACAAGAGCUACCCUCAUCAUACAGAGAUCAAAAAGUAACCAGACGACAUGAGAGCCCUUCCCAACUCCAGCUAAGUGUCAGUGAGAAGGGACAAGUCGCAGCAGGGCUUUUCCCUGAGUUUGUGUGGAAGGAACAAGAACCGUUCUCUCUAUCAGGAACAACAGAUAACCAGAGCCAGAAAGAACACUUCUGUUAUCAGAAUGAUGCUCUACCACACACAUCUAUCUGAUCUUGACCACUAGAAUGAAGCUCACCCUCACUGUCAAGUGCCAGGUUUGAGAGCAGGGCAUCCGAACUGGCCUUUCAAUCCUAGGGCCCUCUUCCCUACUGUUUCCAAACCAACUAAGCCAAAACUGUAGUUCUGGUGAGGCUGUUGAGAAGACUCAGAGGUUAAAAGUACUUGCUGCUCUAUGGAGGACUCAGGUUCAGUUCCCAACACCCAUAUGAUCGCUCAUGAUCAUCUACAACUCCUGUUGCAGUGACUCUAGUGCCCUCUUCUGGCCUCUACAGGCUUCUGCAUGCCCGUGGUGCAUAUAAACUCAUACAGGAGAAUACACAUAUACAUAAAGUGGAAAGAUGAAUAAAUUAAAAGGCACCACAGAGAUAAGAGACAAAGAAAUGAGAAACAACCUUUUCGAUCUUUGGUACGGUGAAAUCUGCUAACUGCCCAGCUUCCACUCGCACAGGCUGGUAUUUCAUGAUCACCCCUGAGUUAUGGAUAUAAAAACACUGGUAAGAGGAGAAAUAUUUUUGAGCCUUUUACAUAAAACCUCCACGACUUUAGCACCAUGCGAUGAAGUAGAAGUGUGGGUCCCACGGUGAUUAACCAGAUUUUAUAGGCAAUGUUUCAAACAAGCACCAGGCUGUGUGUCUUCAGCUAUUGUUGGGAUGAUUUCAUUAGGUUCUCUGAUAAAUAAUGCAGGCUCUAAUGAUGCAUUUCCUCUUUAAAAAAAAAAAACCCACAAUGGAAACUCCAUUUCAUAAAGCAAAGAAGAACUAUGGCAUCUGUUUAAUUUUUAUUACUUUUAAAUUAAUCCGUAAGGUCUUAAGAAGUGGAUACCGACUUGAAAGGGGAGAAUAAAAGGGAGGGGAAAGGUUUACCUGUUUAAAAGGUGAACUCAUGCCCCGGUGAGUGGAAAAUGGAUCUAGGUCAAUAGCCAGCAUGGAAGCCCCACCUUCCUCCAUCGAGCUCUUUCCAGAUCACAAAAGGAAAGCGGUCCUGCCAAAUUAAAACUCUCCAUAACAAUAAACCCUGAUUUAAUGCAGUCAUUAUUUUUCCAUUAAAUCUGAAUAUCAUCUAAUGCAUGGAUGUUAUUUUAAACCUACUACACUAAUGCAAACCCAGCAUUCCUUAUAAAUCAGACCUAAAUGCUCAGUCAGUUGUCAUUACUGCGCUUGACAAUCACAGGACCCCGUCCCCAAGGGCACCGCCCCUCAAGCCCUGCCUCCACACAUGGGAGGAAGGGACAGAGAUGCAUUUAAUCUCGGGUGGAGAGACACUUGCGAGAGUGCACAGCCAGAGUCAGUAACGCCCUGGAGCUCUCUGCCUAAUUUGGUUCAACAUAAUCCUUGCUUCUCCAGACCACAUGAGGCUGGGAACAGUUCGAACUUGGCAUUUAAAACAUUGGGGAAAUAGAACCUUCUUCGAGGGCUUAAAGCAGAGAAGAGCUGAUGGAGGAGAUUGAGCCCACUGGGAAAGAUGUAUAUGGAAGAGCUGAGAGACUGAACAGGAGACGAUACAAGCCAAAGAGGAGUAACCACAAGCAGCACUGCGACCAUGGGCAGCUCUGAGACCACAGGUAGCUCUGUGACCAUGGCCAGUUCUGUAACCAUGGCCAGUUCUGUGACCAUGGGCAGCUCUGAGACCACAGGCAGUUCUGCAACCAUGGGCAGUUCUGUAACCACAGGCAGUUCUGCAACCAUGGGCAGCUCUGUGACCAUGGGCAGCUCUGUGACCAUGGGCAGCUCUGUGACCAUGGGCAGCUCUGUGACCAUGGGCAGCUCUGUGACCAUGGGCAGUUCUGUAACCACGGACAGCUCUGUGACCACAGGCAGUUCUGUGACCAUGGGCAGCUCUGCCCCUUGGCUGGAGACACAGAGAGAAGAGCAAGUGGCACCAGGAACCAUGGGCAAGUGAUGUUGACAGAUAGGGGAAGCACAUCAGGCAUUCAUAGACUCAGAAGAGGCUUGAACAAUGGGUUAGAAGCCACAGCUCCUGUCCAGUGCAAUGGGUUGCCCAGCUCCUUCCAUUUGUGAGCCUGCAAAACACAUUCUGGAACAUGAAAACCCGUUGGCAAGGAGAAAGCUUGCAGCUCAGUGCAAGGAUGACUUCUCCACAUCCUACAACCCAAACAUACAAUACAACUUGCAUCUGUCUAAAGCAUACUUCUUUCCUCUGCACCUUCCAAGGUCCCUAAAAUGAAAGAUCAGCGUUCAGCAAAUCUUGAAACCCUAUGUCAAACCUGACUAUAAAGGCUGUGCCUCCCCUUACCCUCUCCUAUACCCCUCUUAAUUCCCUCUGAACUUACAUUAAACCUUAUUCUGUGUUUCUCCACCUUUGACUUUUACUGUAACAUGCAGAGUUUCUCUGGCUGCCUCUGCUGAGUGCACAUAUUCUCUCUCCAGCCAUGUCUUACGUGAUAUUACACCAUCUGAUGCCCCUUGAACAGUAACUAUGCUAUUGUUUUUGGUUUUCUGUGCAAAUUGGUGAAGUGCUACCCCCCAACCCCUAUAGACACCUACAGAGACCUCCUACAAGGAAGGAAUCUCUGACCCUUCCCCACAGUGCCUUUCACAGUAAAAGUGAGGCUCUGCCUGCUGGCAGUGGCUGAUGCAACUCUGUCAGAGUGCCCUAUCCCAGCCUUUCCAGACGUGUGUCAGUGAGCAUGUAGGUCCCUUCUUCUCUCUUUCUCUUUCCUUCCUUCCUUCCUUCCUUCCUUCCUUCCUUCCUUCCUUCCUCCCUUCCUUCCUCCCUUCCUCCCUUCCUCCCUUCCUCCCUUCCUCCCUUCCUCCCUUCUUCCCUUCCUCCCUUCCUCCCUUCCUCCCUUCCUCCCUUCCUCCCUUCCUCCCUUCCUCCCUUCCUCCCUUCCUUCUUUUCUCUCUUUUUCUCUUUCUUUCUUUUUGUAUUUUUAUGUAUAUGAGUACACUGUUGCUCCCUUCAGACUCACACUAGAAGAGAGCAUUGAAUCCCAUCACAGAUGGUUGUGAGCCUCCAUGUGGUUGCUGGGAACUGAACUCAGGACCUCUAGAAGAGCAGUCAGUACUCUUAACCACUGAGCCAUCUCUUUAGCCCCCUACCCCACUUCUUCAUUCUCAUGUCAAUCCAGUCAGGUUUCCAGGACCGAGACAAGAUGGAUGCACUGCUGUGUGUGUGUGUGUGUGUGUGUGUGUGUGUGUGUGUGUGUGUGUGCAUGUGCAUGCAUGUGUGUGUGUGUUUGUGUGAGGGUAGGACUAUGUGCCUGUGCAAGCAUGUAUGUUCGUGUAUGUGCAUAUGUGUGUGUGUGUGCUGAAUAAAAUGCCUGCCACAUAGUAAACACACAAUUAA
Molecule: long non-coding RNA, 3911 nt
Filed under: Mus musculus (house mouse)
Lineage: Eukaryota; Metazoa; Chordata; Mammalia; Rodentia; Muridae
Description: RIKEN cDNA 4930455J16 gene
Source: RNAcentral